Neltuma alba is the source of this 342-nucleotide long non-coding RNA. RefSeq lists it as uncharacterized. Lineage: Eukaryota; Viridiplantae; Streptophyta; Magnoliopsida; Fabales; Fabaceae. The transcript has 4 exons. The record is from RefSeq and is a predicted model, not a curated record.
AGAAAUUUUCUUUCCCCUCUUGCUGGACUGAUACAGAAUGAUGAAGAUAUCGUUUUGCUUCGUCUGUCUAAUUUCCAUUGUCUUCAUAAUACUUCUCCAAACCCAGAAUCGCAGGGCAGCUUCUCUUUCAUGGCACCACAACACCUCUCCGGCUAACGACACCGUCUCCUCCACCGCUGAUGCCCCCACAACUACCGCAGCCUGUGACUCCGACCACCGCUGCCUCGUCGCCGAUGUGGCCGACACCGACUCUUUCUACUCGGAUCCUCGAUUUGUGAGCAUAUUGGACUCAAAUUCACUCCAAAUCACUCCCAAGACCCUUACCCCUGGACCUUCAGUUAA